Molecule: ribosomal RNA, 253 nt
Filed under: uncultured bacterium
Lineage: Bacteria
Description: partial 16S ribosomal RNA
Rfam family: Bacterial small subunit ribosomal RNA
Source: RNAcentral
UACAGAGGGUGCUAGCGUUGUUCGGAAUCAUUGGGCGUAAAGCGCGUGUAGGCGGCCCGGUAAGUCCGCUGUGAAAGUCGGGGGCUCAACCCUCGAAUGCCGGUGGAUACUGUCGGGCUAGAGUGCGGGAGAGACGAGUGGAAUUCCUGGUGUAGCGGUGAAAUGCGCAGAUAUCAGGAGGAACACCAAUUGCGAAGGCAGCUCGCUGGAACGUAACUGACGCUGAGACGCGAAAGCGUUGGGAGCAAACAGG